This is a long non-coding RNA of Tympanuchus pallidicinctus (lesser prairie-chicken), 449 nucleotides long. RefSeq lists it as uncharacterized. The record is from RefSeq and is a predicted model, not a curated record. NCBI's taxonomy places the organism in Eukaryota, Metazoa, Chordata, Aves, Galliformes, Phasianidae. The transcript is spliced from 2 exons.
CUGUGCUGGCACCCAAUGGGGAGCAUGGGGGUGGGUGUCAAAAUCGGGUGUCUAGGCAGUGUCUGUGCCACAGCCCCUGUCCUCUGAGAAGCUGGAAUCAAUUAGGCCCAUGGCUGUAAUGAAUUUACACGUGGGAUUUAUCUCAUUUGCCUCAUUCUGCUUCUAUGCAAACUGCGUCCAUCAGACUCGAGGAGAUUGCAGUGUUGAGGAAGGACGGGAACUGGGGGCUCUGGGCAAUGGGGACAAGAGAGAUGCCACCAGCCAGGAGGUGACAGUCCAAGAAUCACAGGGCUAUGGCACAGGGUAUGGCAACAACACCCCGAACCUGUGCUGAACUGGCACAUUCCUCCAAGGAGAUCUUUCUAUUUGAAAGAGGAAAGCAUGUCAAACAAAUUUAAAAUGCUUUGGGUUUUAUUUAUAUUUCAGUCUAGGGAGAAUUGGAUGAAAAA